AGAGUUUGAUCCUGGCUCAGGAUGAACGCUAGCGACAGGCCUAACACAUGCAAGUCGAGGGGCAUCGGGGCGAGGAGCAAUCCUUGCCGCCGGCGACCGGCGCACGGGUGAGUAACGCGUAUGCGACCUGCCCGUUGCAGGGGGAUAAUCGGGAGAAAUCCCGUCUAAUACCGCGUAAUGCCGCGGGGCUGCAUGGCCCUGCGGCCAAAGGGAGCGAUUCCGGCAACGGAUGGGCAUGCGUGACAUUAGCUAGUUGGCGGGGCAACGGCCCACCAAGGCGACGAUGUCUAGGGGUUCUGAGAGGAAGGUCCCCCACACUGGUACUGAGACACGGACCAGACUCCUACGGGAGGCAGCAGUGAGGAAUAUUGGUCAAUGGGCGCGAGCCUGAACCAGCCAAGUCGCGUGAGGGAUGACGGCCCUACGGGUUGUAAGCCUCUUUUGUCGGGGAGCAAAUUCCGUUACGUGUAACGGAGUCGAGAGUACCCGAAGAAAAAGCAUCGGCUAACUCCGUGCCAGCAGCCGCGGUAAUACGGAGGAUGCGAGCGUUAUCCGGAUUUAUUGGGUUUAAAGGGUGCGUAGGCGGACUGUCAAGUCAGCGGUAAAAUACGGGGGCUCAACCUCCGCCCGCCGUUGAAACUGACGGUCUUGAGUGGGCGAGAAGUAUGCGGAAUGCGUGGUGUAGCGGUGAAAUGCAUAGAUAUCACGCAGAACUCCGAUUGCGAAGGCAGUAUACCGGCGCCCAACUGACGCUGAAGCACGAAAGCGUGGGUAUCGAACAGGAUUAGAUACCCUGGUAGUCCACGCAGUAAACGAUGAAUACUAGCUGUCCGGGGCGAAUGAGCCCUGGGUGGCACAGCGAAAGCGUUAAGUAUUCCACCUGGGGAGUACGCCGGCAACGGUGAAACUCAAAGGAAUUGACGGGGGCCCGCACAAGCGGAGGAACAUGUGGUUUAAUUCGAUGAUACGCGAGGAACCUUACCCGGGCUCAAACGACACAGGAACGUACCUGAAAGGGUUCGGCUCUACGGAGCCUGUGUCGAGGUGCUGCAUGGUUGUCGUCAGCUCGUGCCGUGAGGUGUCGGCUUAAGUGCCAUAACGAGCGCAACCCCCAUCGACAGUUGCUAACAGGUCAGGCUGAGGACUCUGUCGAGACUGCCGGCGCAAGCUGCGAGGAAGGCGGGGAUGACGUCAAAUCAGCACGGCCCUUACGUCCGGGGCGACACACGUGUUACAAUGGCAGGUACAGCGGGAAGCCACCUGGCGACAGGGAGCGGAACCCGAAAGCCUGUCUCAGUUCGGAUUGGAGUCUGCAACCCGACUCCAUGAAGCUGGAUUCGCUAGUAAUCGCGCAUCAGCCACGGCGCGGUGAAUACGUUCCCGGGCCUUGUACACACCGCCCGUCAA
This 1407-nucleotide ribosomal RNA is filed under the name uncultured bacterium. RNAcentral describes it as "bacterial SSU rRNA". It matches the Rfam family "Bacterial small subunit ribosomal RNA". The record is from RNAcentral.